Molecule: ribosomal RNA, 440 nt
Filed under: Salmonella enterica subsp. enterica serovar Anatum
Lineage: Bacteria; Pseudomonadati; Pseudomonadota; Gammaproteobacteria; Enterobacterales; Enterobacteriaceae
Description: partial 23S ribosomal RNA
Rfam family: Bacterial large subunit ribosomal RNA
Source: RNAcentral
CAUCCUCCAAGGCUAAAUACUCCUGACUGACCGAUAGUGAACCAGUACCGUGAGGGAAAGGCGAAAAGAACCCCGGCGAGGGGAGUGAAAAAGAACCUGAAACCGUGUACGUACAAGCAGUGGGAGCACAGGUUUACCUGUGUGACUGCGUACCUUUUGUAUAAUGGGUCAGCGACUUAUAUUCUGUAGCAAGGUUAACCGCUUUCGGGUAUAGCGUUCACUCCCCUCGCCCUGGCGGCAGGCCUAUUACGAAGUUUAAAAGUUUAAUUCGGAAGACCAAGGGUUCCUGUCCAACGUUAAUCGGGGCAGGGUGAGUCGACCCCUAAGGCCAAACUUUUAAAUUGAAGAGUUUGAUCAUGGCUCAGAUUGAACGCUGGCGGCAGGCCUGUGUAGGUGUGUGUUCCAGGUAAAUCCGGUUCACUUUAACACUGAGGCGUGAC